This 253-nucleotide unclassified non-coding RNA is filed under the name uncultured fungus. Its description in RNAcentral is "partial contains 5.8S ribosomal RNA, internal transcribed spacer 2, and large subunit ribosomal RNA". Lineage: Eukaryota; Fungi. The record is from RNAcentral.
AACGCACAUUGCGCCCCUUGGCAUUCCGAGGGGCAUGCCUGUUCGAGCGUCAUUACACCAAUCACGCCUGGCGUGGUAUUGGGCGACGGGGACCGCGGCUCGCCCGCACCCCGCGCCCCAAUGACUCCGGCGGGACGAAUCGAAUCUCAGCGUUGUGAUCAAAAGCCGCUGGCGAGACGAGGCGCCCUGUGCCGUUAAACAACCCCCUUCAAAGGUUGACCUCGGAUCAGGUAGGGAUACCCGCUGAACUUAA